CUCCAUAGCCCGCGCCCGCGUUCUUCCUCCCCCAUCUCGUCUCAUCUCCGGUUGCUGCAGAGGAGCCCAGUUUCGCGCCGCCACCAUGGUUGGCCUGCAGCGAGCAGCAGAGGACCUAGCCGCCGCGUCCGACCUCAACCGCCGCCCGAAACCCUAGCCCCUCCUUCCAACGGCAGGCCCGACUCAUCUCUGCUUGUGCACAACAAGGAAGGCCAUGGAGACGCUGCUCCCUAUGUUCAGCGCGUGGACGGACGAUGCAGCGUUGGGGAUGACUCAUGGCUGCCUCCGUUUGUGCAGGGGUAAGACUAGGUUCCUAUAAUCCCUCCCCAGACCCCAUCUUGUGUGGGAGCUUCUAUGCACUGGGUCUGUCCUUUUUUCUGAAGUCUGAACCAUCUGGAUGAUGAACUAUGUACUGUAAUUAUCCAUAUGAAGGUCAUCGGGCGUUUGGAAGAGAAGAGUGAUGCAUAUAUCAUCUCAGUUCAGGUCGCUGGAGUUGUUUGGUUUUUCUUCUCAUGUGGAUGCUCCAUACUGUAAACUACGCUCUGUACUUGGAGACAAUCACUAAGGCCUUUUUUGUACAAACUAAUCUAAGCUUUUUGUUCUUCUCAAGUAGCUAUUUUAUUUUGCUAAUUCUGUGUAUAGCUGCUAUUAAACAGAAGUCCUUUGAUGUCAGAUGCAAAGUUGAUGAAGUUUUUUUCUA
Long non-coding RNA from Triticum dicoccoides, 700 nucleotides. RefSeq lists it as uncharacterized. The record is from RefSeq and is a predicted model, not a curated record. The transcript is spliced from 3 exons. NCBI's taxonomy places the organism in Eukaryota, Viridiplantae, Streptophyta, Magnoliopsida, Poales, Poaceae.